RNAcentral lists this ribosomal RNA (253 nucleotides) under uncultured bacterium. Its description in RNAcentral is "partial 16S ribosomal RNA". It matches the Rfam family "Bacterial small subunit ribosomal RNA", at positions 524 to 776 of the family's 1533-position model. The record is from RNAcentral.
UACGGAGGGUGCAAGCGUUAUCCGGAUUCACUGGGUUUAAAGGGUGCGUAGGUGGGCAGGUAAGUCAGUGGUGAAAUCUCCGGGCUUAACCCGGAAACUGCCAUUGAUACUAUCUGUCUUGAAUACCGUGGAGGUGAGCGGAAUAUGUCAUGUAGCGGUGAAAUGCUUAGAUAUGACAUAGAACACCAAUUGCGAAGGCAGCUCACUACACGAAUAUUGACACUGAGGCACGAAAUCGUGGGUAUCAAACAGG